UAAAGGGUUUUUAGGAUUUAGGGUUUUGGGCUUAAGAUUUUCUAGGGUUUUAUUAGGUUUAGAGGAAUUUUUAAGUUUAGGGCUUUAAAGGGUGUUUAGGAUAUUUAUGGUUUUUUUACGAUUAAGGGGUUCGUAGAGCUUAGGGUUUUUGAAAGUUUAGGGUUUAGGGGUUUUAAAUGUUUUUUAGGUUUUUUUUUAUUUCUUAAGUUCGACUCUUAGGGUUUAGCCCUAAGGUUUAGGGUUUCUUUGGGUAUAGAGUUGAACAUUUAGGGUUUCUUAGGAUUUAGGGUUGAAGGUCCAAGUUUUUUAUUUAAGGGUUUUUUAAGAUAUAAGGCUUAGGGAUUAAGUUUUUGUAGUAUUUUUAGGUUUAGAGUUUUUUUCGGUUUAGGAUUUUAAAAGGUUUUCAAGAUUUCUAUAAUUUUCUACGGUUUAGGGGUUCUUAGGGAUUAGGAUUUCUUUGAGCAUAGGACUUAGGAUUUUAGAUUUGGGGUUGUUUAGGGGUUAGGGGAUUUAAGGGAUUUUUUAGGUUUAGUGUUUUUAAAGGUGCUUUCAGGGUUUAGGAUUUCUUAGGGUUUAGGGUUUGUUGGUGUUUCAUAAGUCUUGGGGUUUCCCUAAGGCUGAGGGUUUAGUGUUUCUUAGGGUUUAUGAUUUAUGGUUUCUUAGGGGUUUCAAAUAUCUUAGGUUUAGGCUUGUAAAGGUUUUUAAAGGUGUUGAUCUAAUAUGCUUAUGAUAUGCCAACUCAAGGUUAGCUUGGGGUUACUCGUGAUCCUAGGUCCCGCGUUACGUCACGGGAGUAACCUCGGGGAGUGACAAAAACAAUGUCUGAAUUAAAGCCUCUAACUUACUAGAGAUACUGGGACAUGACCCCAACUAACUCUAGCAAAACAGAAAAUAAAAUGAAAGACAGAAUAUAAAACAUGUCAAUAGUCCUCGAAAAAUGAGGACUCACCACUGAUAUUGCUGAAUACGGAUCGGGAACCGAUCUUCGCAUGAUCCGAAUGCCGAGGACCUGUACCUACAUCCCGAGAAGAUGUCGCGUAGAGUAUGUCAGUACUUGAAAGGUACUGAGAAUGCAUGACAGGAUAAAGCUGAACAAAUAUAAAUAACAGAAUAGAGCAUAUUGAACAAUGGUAUAAUCUGAACAUGAUAAAUAAGAGUUUAGAUAUUUUGGUAAAGGUUCUUAGGUUAGGGUGUAAAGCUUAAGUUUUUCUUGGAUUUUUUUAGGUUAAGAGUUUUUUUUCGACUUAGGAUUCUUAAGGAUUUUUUAGGAUCAUUAAUGUUUUUUAUGGUUUAGGAGUUCUAAGGGCUUAGGACUUAGGGUUUUAGAUUAUGGAAUUUUUUAGGGUUUGUAAGGUUUGUUUUCGGGAUUUUUAGUUUUAGAGUUUUAAAGGUUAUUAGUGUUUUGUUUUUCUUAGAAUUUAGGGCUUCUUAGAGUUUCAUAAGGAAUAGGCUUGGGGGUUUAUCCCUAAGGUUAAGUGUUUAAGUUUCUUAGGGUUUGAGUUUAACAUUUAAGGUCUCCUAGUUUUUUUUUUGGGGUCAUUUAGGGUUUAUUGUUUUAGGUUUAGGGUUUUUCUAGUGUUUAGGGUUUAUGUUUGUUAGGUUUAAGAUAUUUUAGAGGUUUUUAAGGUUUAGAGUUUUUAAAGUUUUUUGUGUUGUUUUUUAGGGUUUAGGUUUUUGUUAGUGUUUUAUUGGGUUUAGGGUUUGGGGUUUUCUUAGAGUUUGGGUUUUUGGCUUACGAUUUAGGGUUUCUUAGAGUAAAGGAUUCAGGGUUUAAAGUUUGGGAUUGUGGGUUCCUUAGGUUUAGGAGUUUUAAAGUUCUUUUUUAAGAUUUUGGUUUUCUUAGUGAUAUUUAGGGUUUAGUUUUUUUUAGUGAUUUUUAGGGUUUAGGGUUUCAUAGGGUUUAGGAUUCUUUUAAAAUGAGUUUAGGGUAAAUUAUGGUGUAGGGCUUACUGUGUUUUAGGUUUAAGGUUUUUAGAGGUUUUAAAAGGGGUUUUUUUUUUGUUAGAGAAUAUAGGUUUAAAGUUUUUAAAGGUUUUUAAGGUUUCAUAGUGUUUAGGGUAUUAGGGUUUCUUAGGUCUAAGGUUUCUUAGGGUUUAGGGUUUAGGAUCUUAGGUUUUAAGGUAUUAGGGUUUAUAAGGGUUUAAGGUUUAGAGUUUCUUAGGGUUUAGUGUUUCUUAGAGUAUGAUAGGGUUUCCUGCUUUAGAGUUUAGGGAUUAGGGUUUUAGGUUUAAAGAUUAUUGUUUUUGAGUUUUUUAAGGGUUUAUGCUUAUGAUUUCUUAGGGCUUUUUAGGUUUAGAGUUUUAAAAGGUUUUUAGGGGUUUUAAGGGUUUCUUUAUGUUUAGGGUUAAGGCCAAAGGUUUUGGGUUUAGGCCCUAAGGUAUAGGGUUUAAGGUUUAGGGUUUCGGGUUUUAGGUUAAGAGUUUUUUUUAGGGUUUAUGGUUUUCUUUAGGUUUAUUAUAUUUAUGAUUAGGGUUUUAAAAUGUUUUAGGGUUUAUUAAGGUUUUUUAAGAAUUUAGAUUUCUUAAGAUUUAGGGUUACGUAGGAUUUAGGGCAUAGGAUUUUUUUAAGGCUUAGGGCUUUAAAGGGAUUUAUUUUUUCCCCCGAGUAUUAUAGUAUAAGGGGUUUUAAUGGAUUUGAGGGUAUAGGAUUUCUUAGUGUUUCAUAUGGUUUGAGGUUUAGGGUUUAUCCCUAUGGUUUAGAGUUAAGGAUUUAGAGUUUCUUAGGGUAUAGGAUUUAGCGUUUAUGCUUCCCUAGGGUUUGGGUUUUUAAAGGGUUUUUAGGAUUUAGGGUUUUGGGCUUAAGAUUUUCUAGGGUUUUAUUAGGUUUAGUGGAAUUUUUAGGUUUUGGGUUUUAAAGGGUGUUUAGGAUAUUUAUGGUUUUUUUACGAUUAAGGGGUUCAUAGAGCUUAGGGUUUUUAAAAGUUUAGGUUUUAGGGGUUUUAAAUGUUUUUUAGGGUUUUUUUUAUUUCUUAAGUUAGACUCUUAGGGUUUAGCCCUAAGGUUUAGGGUUUAGCCCUAAGGUUUAGGGUUUCUUUGGGUAUAGAGUUGAGCAUUUAGGGUUUCUUAGGAUUUAGGGUUGAAGGUCUAAGUUUUUUAUUUAAGGUUUUUUAAGGUUUAAGGCUUAGGGAUUAAGUUUUUGUAGUAUUUUUUAGGUUUAGAGUUUUUUUUCGGUUUAGGAUUUUAAAAGGGUUUUUCAAGAUUUCUAUAAUUUUCUACGGUUUAGGGGUUCUUAGUGAUUAGGAUUUCUUUGAGCUUAGGGCUUAGGAUUUUAGAUUUAGGGUUGUUUAGGGGUUAGGGGAUUUAAGGGAUUUUUUAGGUUUAGUGUUUUUAAAGGUGUUUUUAGGGUUUAGGGUUUGUUGGUGUUUCAUAAGUCUUGGGGUUUCCCUAAGGCUGAGGGUUUAGUGUUUCUUAGAGUUUAUAAUUUAGGGUUCCUUAGGGGUUUCAAAUAUCUUAGGUUUAAGCUUGUAAAGGUUUUUUAAGGUGUUGAUCUAAUAUGCUUAUGAUAUGCCAACUCAAGGUUAGCUUGGGAUUACUCGUGAUCCUAGGUCCCGCGUUACGUCACGGGAGUAACCUCGGGGAGUGACAAAAACAAUGUCUGAAUAAAAGCCUCUAACUUACUAGAGAUACUGGGACAUGCCCCCAACUAACUCUAGCAAAACUGAAAAUAAAAUGAAAGACAGAAUAUAAAACAUGUCAAUCAUCCUCGAAAAACGAGGACUUACCACUGAUAUUGCUGAAUACGGAUCGGGAAUCGAUCUACGCAUGAUUCGAAUGCCGAGGACCUGUACCUACAUCCCGAGAAGAUGUAGCGUAGAGUAUGUGUCAGUACCUUUCAAGGUACUGAGAAUGCAUGACAGGAUAAAGAUGAACAAAUAUACAUAACUAAAUAGAGCAUAUUGAACGAUGGUAUAAUCUGGACAUGAUUAAUAAGAGUUUAGGUAUUUGGGUAAAGGUUCUUAGGUUAGGGUUUAGAGCUUAAGUUUUUCUUGGAUUAUUUUAGGUUAAGAGUUUUUUUUCGACUUAGGAUUCUUAAGGAUUUUUUAGGAUCAUUAAUAUUUUUACGGUUUGGGAGUUCUAAGGGCUUAGGACUUAGGGUUUUAGAUUAUGGAAUUUUUUUAGGGUUUGUAAGGUUUGUUUCAGGGAUUUUUAGUUUUAGAGUUUUAAAGGUUAUUAGUGUUUUGUUUUUCUUAGGAUUUAGGGAUUCUUAGAGUUUCAUAAGGAUUAGGAUUGGGGGUUUAUCCCUAAGAUUUAGGGUUUAGGUUUCUUAGGGUUUGAGUUUAACAUUUAAGGUCUCCUAGUUUUUUUUUUGUGUCAUUUGGGGUUUAGUGUUUUUCUAUUUUUUUUUUGGGGUCAUUUAGGGUUUAGUAUUUUAGGUUUAGGGUUUUUCUAGGGUUUAGGGUUUAUGUUUGUUAGGUUUAAGAUUUUUUAGAGGUUUUUAAGGUUUAGAGUUUUUAAAGUUUUUUGUUUUGUUUUUAGGGUUUAGGUUUUUCUUAGUGAUUUUUUUUUUUAUUUUAUUUGAAUGACCCUUGAAGGGGUCAGGGGCUUAGCAACACCCCCAGGCCUUAGCAUAAAUAAAGCAAAAAAUUACAAGGAGGGGGGCUUAAACCUAACCUCCAAACCUAUGGUGGUUCUGUAGUCGACCUACCUAGAAAGGUUAGUCAACUCAUCCCCUUAUAAAAAAGGUGAACCAAGAGACUAAGCACCUAAGAGAGGACUCCUCUCGAAACAAAGAAUCUAGGAAGCAUAAAUAAGGUAGACUCUCCCUUUACAUCAAAAAGUAAACUCUAUACCUAUUCAAGAUUGCUAUACUUUUAUCUUAUAGCAAGGUUGAAAAGAUUGUUCUAAUCUAAAGGGGGCUCUUUGAUUCUUUUGAUUUUCCUUCUCCUGAAACUUGCCAUUCCAAGCAUAUCUAGUUGAUAGUAGGCCCUUGCUUCCCUUGGUAGUUGUUGAUUGUUGCAAUAUAUUUGAGGGCAUGUGAUUUUGUGACUUUGUUUUGAUAAUGAAUCAGCCACAUUAUUGGCUUCUCUGAGGAUGUGUUUGCUCCUAAAGUUGUUGGUUUGGUUGAUGAGCCUUUGAAUUUGUUGUAGCUGUGUGUUAAUGCUCCACGGAGGUUUAGCUUUAAGUGUGAUCCAAUCCACUAAUAAUUGCGAGUCCACUUCCAGAAUGACAUUCUUGUAGCCAAGGUGAAUCAGCCAGGACAUGCCAAAUACGGCUGCUCUUAAUUCAGCUAGGUUGUUCGAACCUUCUCCCAAGGGGGUAGCAAAAGCUAGAAUCAUUUCUCCGUCUUGGUUCCUUAUGAUGCCACCUGCUCCAAUUCUGCCCGGGUUAAUUAAUGCACUGCCGUCUGUGUUGAUUUUGACCCACUGAUCUGGAGGCUUUAUCCAUUUAACACAAGUAACUUUGAUGUCAUGAAUACAUCUUUCCCCCAGCUGAAACAGUUCCCUCCAGGUUGCCGGCCACUUGAUUUGGUGGAAUGUUGUUGUCAUGAGUUUUUAGAUGUCCUUAUAGAUGGCAUAUUUGACUCUACUGAUAUUAGAAUGUUUCCCUUCGUAUUUACUAGCACACCUAUUCUUCCAUAGGUUCCAACAAAUGAAUAUUGGUGUUGCUUGUAAUAAUAGCUUGUGUGCUGCAUUGUUAUGUUUGGUCGACCACCAUUGCAUGAUGAGUUGUGAUAUAGAGCUGUGAUCUGUGUUAACUCCAGUAGCUGCAGCAAAACUUUUCCAUACGCAGGUAGCAAAAUGUCCAUUAUUGAAGAUAUGUUCUAUGGUGUCCAGACCUGUCCUGUUACAACAACAAAAACAAUUUGCUCGCUCAAUGCCAAAGCUGAUUAGUUUUUCAUUAGUAGGUAUUUUACCACGCAAAGUUCUCCAUAAAAGAAAGGAAGCUUUAAAAGGAAUACUCUUAUGCCAACAGAAAUUAUUGAAUGCAGUCUUCGUCCUCUUCUCCCUUAUCUCGUUCCAUGCAGAUGAGCAGGUAAAGUUUCCAUCACUGUUAAGCUUCCAGCAGGCCUGGUCUGGGAUGUCGUGUUGGAUAUGAAGCUCGGUAGCUAAAAUAUUGGCGAGAUAGUUGUGAGGAGCUUGUUGAAUGAGCAUGUUCAAGUUCCACUGACCUUCAACCCAGAAUUCUGCUACCUUGGUGUUGUUGAGCCUAUUGCUGGCAGUGGAGUACUGAGCAAGAGGUCCAAUACCAAGCCAGUCGUCCCACCAGAAGGAACAAUUGCCUGAGUUAAGCUUCCACUGAAUGUGUUCCUCUACUUUAUGUUUAUUAUGCAUGAGAUGCUUCCAGGUCUAGGACUCUCCCGUGUCCCAUUUCUUACUAAUAGGAUUUGAUCUUUGGCAAUAUUUAGCUCUCAAAAAGUCUCCCCAAAGGGUCUACUUGGAUCUAAAACACCACCAUUGUUUGUAUUGGAAAGCUAUGCAAACAUCUUUGAGAUUCCUCAUGCCAACACCUCCCUCUUCAUAAGGAAAGCUUAAAUUUUUCCAAGAAGCCCAAUGGUAUUUUGUUUUUUCAUUCCUCCAUCCCCAGAAGAAGUCAGCCAUGAUGCUUUGGAUCUGUUUCAGAACUGUAAUAGGGGUGGUCACUGCUGAUAAUAGGUGAAUAGGUAGUGACUGUAAUACAUGUUUGAUUAGAAUUGCUCUGCCACCAUAGCUUAAAAGUUUAGUUUGCCAGCCUGUGAUUCUGCAUAAGACUUUGUUAAUAAGGUCAGAAAAAUAAAUAAUCCUAGGUCUACCAAUAAACACGGGGCAACCAAGAUAAGUAAGAGGCCCCGCUUUCUGGCUGAAACCAAUAGUUCUUCUAAUUCUGUCUCUAGUGCUGUUGAAGGCAUUAGGAUGAAACAUGAAGUGGCUUUUGUCAAUAUUAAUAAGCUGGCCUGAGGUCUCUUCAUAAGUCUUCAAAGUUUGCAUGAUGAGUUUGAGAGUUUUCUGCCUUCCAGAGGUGAAGAGUAUAAUGUCAUCAGCAAAGCUUAAAUGGUUCACUUGCGGACCUCUUGGUUCCAUAAAGAAACCAUGGUACUGCUGAUUGCUAUGGAGUCUGUUCAAGGAUCUGGAUAGGACCUCUGCACCUAAAAUAAAUAGGGCAGGGGAUAAGGGGUCCCCUUGUUUGAGACCUCUGGUGGAGUGAAGGAAGCCAUGUCUUUUGCCAUUGACAAUAAUAGAGUACCAGUUGUUAGCCAUGAUCCUCCAAACUAUAUCAAUAAAGACCUCAUCAAACCCCAUUCUUCUCAAAACCAAGCAUAUAUAGGACCAUGAGACUCUAUCGUAUGCUUUAGCCAUGUCCAAUUUAAUGAUCACAUUGCUCCCAAUAUUAGGCUUCUUAAUCUGGUGAAGAAUCUCUUGGGCCAACAUGAUGUUUUCUGAAAUGCUUCUCCCCUUGAUAAAACCUGAUUGGUUAAGAGAAACCAAGGUAGGUAGAAUGGGGCCAAGUCUAGAGCUCAUCAAUUUAGAUAUAAUCUUGCUAGUAAAGUUGCUUAAACUGAUGGGUCUAAACUCAGUGAUUUUAUUAGGAUUGUUCACCUUAGGUAGGAGAACAAUGCAAGAAUGGGAAAAGUAUUUGGGAAUCAUUUGCCCACAAAAAAAUGCUUGAAUAACACCAAAUAGAUCAUUCUUGAUAAUAUGCCAACAUUUUUGGAAGAAGUGCCCAUUCAUCCCAUCAGGACCAGCUGCAGAAUUAGGGUUCUUAGAGAAAACCAUUUCCCUCAAUUCUUCCAUAGUAGGCAUGAUGAUAAGGUUAGCAUUUUGCUCCUGAGUGACCAUCCUGGGGAUACAAUUGAUAGCAUUUUCAUUUAUAGCUCUGUCUUGUCCAGUGAAAAUUUUGUUGAAAUGAUCACAGGCAGCUUCUGCAAUGUUGUCAUCUCCCUGUAUCCACUCUCCUUCCUCACUGAUAAGUUUGUGAAUAAACAGCCUUCUUCUCCUUCCUCUGAUCAGUGAGUGAAAGUAUUUCGUGUUAGCAUCGCCUUCCUUGAACCAUUGUAAUUGAGUUUUUUGUUUCAAAAUGGAGUCUUCCAUUUUUAGGAAUCUAAUAUAUUCUGCAUUGAGUUUAUGGAGAAUUGUCCUGUUAUUUUCUGUGUGAUCUUGAAUAAGACUCUCUUCAGCAAUCUUGACCUUCUCCUCAUACUCCUUGACUUUAAGAAAGAUAUCUUCAAAUUCCCCUUUGGACCAAGAACUAAGAGUGGUGGACAGCCUUUUCAAUUUCUGAUGAAAUUUCCACAUAUUGUUGCCCUCUACAGUUCUGUUCCAACAUGCUUUCACUGUGUCUAGGAAAUUAGGUUGAUCAGUCCAGCAAUUGAGGAAUUUAAAAUAUCUUAUGUGAUUUUCUUCUCUAGGACACAUUUCCAUCAGUAAUGGGCAGUGGUCUGAUCCUACAGAAGAUAGGUGAGUGAUGGUAGUUUGAGGCAUGAUUUCCAACCAGCUAUCAUUAACCAUGGCCCUGUCCAACCUUUUCCAGAUUCUGUUCUGUAUACCCCUUUUAUUUGACCAAGUGAACUUCUGGCCACUGAAGCCUAAAUCAAUAAGUCCACAGGCUUCAGUCACAGCAAUAAAGUCUAAACUCUUCCUCAUGUUAUAUGGUAUCCCUCCCAGCUUUACCUCAAUAGAAGUAAUGACAUUGUAGUCACCUACUGAGCACCAAGGUUUGGUGGUUUCAGUAGAAUGGUACAUCAUUCUAUCCCAUAGGGUCUUCUGAGAUGAUCCUUGCACUUGGCAUACACAAAGGUGGUGAUGAAUUGAUUCUAAAUUUCAUUGUGACCAAUCUCACAAGUAAUUUGUUGUUCAUCUUCCUCAAUUACUACACAAUCAAUGUCCUUAUCCAAAAGAGCCAAAUUUUGCCAUUUCGAUUACUCACAGCAUGUCCAUGGCCAAUUGGUUUUAAAACUUUGGAUCUGAAUAGUAUCCGAGAAUGGUUCUAAAAUAGCAAUGAUGGAAAGUUGGUGCACCUUAAUUAGCAUCUUGAUUCUUUCCAUUACUCCUUGAGUGUUGAUCCCCCUCACAUUCCAAAUAAUUGUACUAAUCAUUGGGAAGAUCUGGAGGAAAAGAGUCUAGUAUUUGGGCUGCCAGCAGUGACAGUGUUGAUAUCUUGCUUUUGAAUUGGAAUUCAUCAUGGUGCAGUCCCCUGGGAGAUAAUCCUUAGGUAUCAGCCACAUGUUGAAUCUCUUCUUCCAGUCCUUUAUCAGGUGAAGGACUAAAAGCUUUUAUCAAUAGCUCACUGGUCUCAUCAUCCUCAUCAGGAUCCUUAAGAGAUUGAUAAUCCCCAUCCAGUUCAUCUUCUGAAUUAUCAACAGCAUAUUCAUCGAUGACUGGACCUUUGUUUAUUUGGCACUUUUCUGGUGAUUUAUCAGGAGGCACAUUAAGAGGUAUGGUCAUAUAUUGUGCCUGCAGAGGAUUAAUAUCCAUUCCCAUCUGUUCAUUUACCAUAAUAAAUUUCUUGCACGUUUCCCCAUCUGUUUGCUGCUCCCUCUGUUCAUUUUUAUCCUGCUGUUGAUUUUGUCUCUUUUUUUCAGCUUCUCUCCUUUUUUUGCUAGGUUUGUUCUUGCUUUUGGUGAUCUGCUCCUGAUUGCUAGUACUAGCCUUUGAUCCCAUAUCUUUUGCCAUAGCUCCCUUGCUUUGUGUAGUUGUAUUUCCUGUCUCACUGUGGCUUUUGUUUUUGCUAUUUUUGUUGGUGUUUUGCUUCUCCUUUUCUGAUCUGUUCUGUUGUUGUACCUGCUGUUGAUUUGGACUCUGUUGUUGACUAGUGGUAGCAGGGGUUCUAAGGUCAUUCCUAUGGUCAAUGUGAAACCCCUCAUGCAUAACAUGAGUCAAAUUCCCCCCUUUGGACACCCCUUCCUGCAAGUUAGUUUGUUUCUCCUGACAUCCCCCAUCCAUCCCUCCUUCAACUUCAACAACAUUAUUAAGAUGAGAAUUAUUGGGGCAUGUGGGGGUUGGGAGCAUUGAGUCAAUACCUGUGCUUUUGUUGUUUGUUUUGUUUCCUGCCUGCUGGACUUGAAUUCUUUGGUUAUGGUCUGCUUUAGACCUUCUUUGUAGUCCCUGGGUUGUUGUCUCUUCUUUACUAUUGUGCUCCUGGAUAUCUUCAUUGAGUUUCUCCUGCAUGGUAAGAUUAGUAAAAGAGUUAUGAUUAGAGGUGUUACCUGUACCUGUUUGCUGAGUUAUGAUUUGUGGUUGUUCUUUUGACAUUUUGUUUUUUGGUGAGGUUGGUCUCCACAUUGUCUUUUGUAUUCUUUCCUCCUGCUGCUUAUUGUUUUUUCUUCUUGGCACCUGCCAUUCUCCUUCCGUUUGCUGCUCAGCUUGUUGUUGAUUAUUCUUUUCCCUAGAGUUUUGGUGUUGCUGCUCCUCUUGAUCCUUUGUCUUCAUUUGCUUGUGUUCAUUUCCUUGUUGCCUUUGCUCUCCUUCCUACAAGCUUUUCAUUUCUGUUCCCAAUUCUUUCCUUCAUUUGAAAUCCUCAUCCCUUAUUUUGAAGUUACAAUCAUCUAUUAUGUGACCCUGAUGUUUGCAGUAAGUACAGUAGGGUGGGAUAUUUUCAUAUUCGAUAGGUUGCCAUCUUCCAAUGGUGAGGUCUUCAUCAUCCAAUCCAAUCCAAACAUGUCUAGGUCUAGUCUUUGUAAGGUCCACUUGGACUUUAACCUUGGCCAUGCUAGCCCUGGUUCUCUUGAUGGAAGCUGUAUCUAAGUAUAGGACAUUGCCCACAGAUUCAAGUAGGGGUGUGAUGAACUCUUUUUUGAAGCAGUGCCAAGGCAAUCCUGGUAGGAGAACCCAUAUAGGAACAAUGGGUGUUCCCUCCUCAGGUCUAAAGUUGGGAGUCCAAGCUUGUAUUCUCAUAAGUUUGCCCUCAAUAGUCAUUCUUUGUUGUGUCCAUACAGUGUUAUAAUCCAAUUCAUUGUCCAAGUCGAUAAACACAUGCCUAGCAUUAUAGUGGGCAAUAUUGACCCCCCCAUUCAGCUGAGUUUGUAGGAUGAAGCUUUUCCUUAUGAGUUCUAUUUUCGGCAUGGUGGUACUGAAUUUACCUAUAAGGGUGUACUUACAAUCCACAGCCAAUUUGUUCAUGAAGUCAUCCAUGUCGUAGAUCACUGCAGGUUGGUCUUGCUUGGUGGUAUGUCUGGGGGAAACCAGCUCUAUGGAGGUAGCUUGUGUAGUAUGGAUUUGUCUAAGUCUUGCAGCCAGUGUUUGUACCACAGUAUAAGGGGGCAGGUUCUGUACGCUGGUCCUGUUUGGUUUUCUGGUUCUCGUUGGUAUUGCUGGGGCCAUUGGAUUCGUUUGGAGGAUUAAUUUGCUGAUCUUUUUGGUUGUAAGUUGUAAGUCGUGUGUCUAUCAAAAUUACUAGAAAUUUUAGGAAACUCUCUAUGAUAAUUAUUGGGUUCAGAGUUCCCUCCAUGAUCAGAUAAAGGAGCUUGACCUUUGUUUUUCUCAUUACUCUUAUUUCGUUCAACCUGCUGUUGGGAUUCCAAGUUCCCCCUGCUCUGUUCCAGAUCAUUCAGUAUAUCAUUCUUUUGUCUCUUUGCACUAGCAGUCACAUGAUCAUCCCUACUACUCAAGUUGACAACAUUUCUAUUCAAGUUAGGAUGAGAAAACUUACCUGCUUGAGUGCCACCCUCACGCGGAUUUUUUCUUGGUGCAUUAUUGUCUGCUGCUUGAAGUUCCUGCCUGUGAUCAUGAUCAAAUUUAGUAUUGUAGUUAGUGUUCAUACCUGGUCUUUGUUGUCCUCCAUUGCUUGGGAUUGUGUCCGAUGGUUUGACUCCAAAUGAGAAUUGUGAUGAGCUUUCCACUUCAAUUACUUCCAGAGUUGUCGACUUUGUAUUCCCAUGUUGAUCAUUUUGGUCUUGGCUUAGACUUGUGUCUCCUUGCUUCGAAUUCAUAGCUAAUUUUUGUGUCUCCAUUGAUUGCAGGUCUUGUUUUUUACCAUUGGGACCUUCAUGGUCUUGAGAAAAUGUCCCCUGAUGAUUUGCUUCAGUUUUUCCAUUGAGUUCUUCAACUUCAACUUGUUGUUUGGUUGUAGAUUUAUCAAAACUUGCCUGAAUUACAUCUUGGUGGUGAUCUUGAGGUAUAUUGAUGGGUAUGUUAGUAAGAUGGACCUCUUCCUCCAUCGAAUAAUUCCCAGUAGCAGUGCCACCGUCACUGUUCAUUUUUUCGGCUAUUUGCUCACCGGAGUUCAUGUUCCCGGCGACUGAGCCGUCCAUUUUACUUGAAAUUGCAGUGAGGUGUACCUCUUCAACAUGUGAGAAAUCCCCAGUGGUCAAUUCGCCAUGAAAUUGGCGUGAAGGUGGACGAAUCUGAAGGCGGCGCUCAAGCGAUUUUUUGGAACUUUUCCCAGAAUUCAUCUCCUCAGUUCUCUCAAUUGGGGAGGUGGAAUCACAUGAUUUUUUAGUAUGUUGUAGCCUUUGAGGAGGAGAAUCAUCCCCACUAAACAACUUUCGAUGAAUCACCUCAUCGCGAUCUGUGGAAAUAAUUUUUUGAAUCCCGUCCAACUCCAUUUCUGAAAUCGCGAUAUGCAUCGCUUCAUUGUUUUGCGAAUUCGUGGAGUUGUAGGUUGAAUUGGAAGACGAUUCAUGAUGGGUUUUGUUCGUCUGUUCAAGGCGCCUCUGCUUACCUAGGUUCGGCAGCCUAAAGAGGCCCACCGGCGGCUCACGCGCCAUUCCGGCUCGUGAACUAGCCGUUGGAGCUGUACCUGCUGUGUAAAUUUUUUUGAGAGUUCCGGGUAGAGAGGGAAAAUAGAGAGAGAAAAAAAUUGAGAAAUGAGGAAGCGAUCUUAGUGUUUUUUUGGGUUUAGGGUUUGGGGUUUUCUUAGAGUUUGGGUUUUGGCCUACGAUUUAGGGUUUCUUAGGGUUAAAGGAUUCAGGGUUUAAAGUUUGGGAUUGUGGGUUCCUUAGGUUUAGGAGUUUUAAAGUUUUUUUAAGGUUUUGGUUUUCUUAGUGAUUUUUAGGGUUUAGGGUUUCAUAGGGUUUAGGAUUCUUUUAAAAUGAUUUUAGGGUAAAUUAUGGUGUAGGGCUUACUGUGUUUUAGGUUUAAGGUUUUUAGAGAUUUUGAAAGGGGUUUUUUUUUUGUUAGAGAAUAUAGGUUUAGAGUUUUUAAAGGUUUUUAAGGUUUCAUAGGGUUUAGGAUUUUAGGUUUUAAGGUAUUUGGGUUUAUAAGGGUUUAAGGUUUAGAGUUUCUUAGGGUUUAGUGUUUCUUAGAGUAUGAUAGGGUUUCCUGGUUUAGAGUUUAGGGCUUAGGGUUUUAGGUUUAAAGAUUAUUUUUUUUGAGUUUUUUAAGGGUUUAUGCUUAUGAUUUUUUAAGGGUUUUUAGGUUUAGAGUUUUAAAAGGUUUUUAGGGUUUUAAGGGUUUUUAGGUUUAGAGUUUUAAAAGGUUUUUAGGGUUUUAAGGGUUUUUAGGUUUAGAGUUUUAAAAGGUUUUUAGGGUUUUUAAGGGUUUCUUUAUGUUUAGGGUUAAGGCCAAAGGUUUAGGGUUUAGGCCCUAAGGUAUAGGGUUUAAGGUUAAGGGUUUCGGGUUUUAGGUAAAGAGUUUUUUUUCGGGUUUAUAGUUUUCUUUAGGUUUAUUAUAUUUAUUAUUAGGGUUUUAAAAUGUUUAAGGGUUUAUUAGGGUUUUUUAAGAAUUUGGAUUUCUUAUGAUUUAGGGUUACGUAGGAUUUAGGGCAUGGGAUUUUUUUAAGGCUUAGGGUUUAGGUUUUCUUAGGGUUUAGGAUUUCUUAGUGUUUCAUAUGGUUUGAGGUUUAGGGUUUAUCCCUAUGGUUUAGAGUUAAGGAUUUAGAGUUUCUUAGGGUAUAGGAUUUAGCAUUUAUGAUUUCUUAGGGUUUGGUUUUUUAAAGGGUUUUAGGAUUUAGGGUUUUGGGCUUAAGAUUUUCUAGGGUUUUAUUAGGUUUAGAGGAAUUUUUAGGUUUAGGGUUUUAAAGGGUGUUUAGGAUAUUUAUGGUUUUUUUACGAUUAAGGGGUUCUUAGAGCUUAGGGUUUUUAAAAGUUUAGGGUGUAGGGGUUUUAAAUGUUUUUUAGGGUUUUUUUUAUUUCUUAAGGUAGAC
Molecule: long non-coding RNA, 13994 nt
Filed under: Solanum tuberosum (potato)
Lineage: Eukaryota; Viridiplantae; Streptophyta; Magnoliopsida; Solanales; Solanaceae
Description: long non-coding RNA (STUB_LNC000433)
Source: RNAcentral